CUUGCUUCGUUAGCGUUUGUAUCACCCAAUGGCAACCAUCAUAGGGGUUCUGGAUCUACAUCGUUAUGGGAGUAUCCUCAUUUAGCGGAAGGGAAUGUCAAUGGCACCAAAAGCUUCCAUGGUGACUCGCAGUAUCUGAUUGAGUCCGUUACGAAAGUGUUCUCCAGCCUCAAUGACUGAAACCAGUGAAACCAGAAGCCUGGGUUAAACCCCCUCGGUGAUGACAUUCUUACAGAGCAUAUUGAGGGGUAAUUCAAUCCAUCAAGAUCCUACAGCUUCUGAACAUAUCUAGUCACAUGUUAGCUGUGUGUACAUAACAUAUCUUCGGGUGUCAAAUACCUACCAGAGCUUAGAACAGACAGCUCGCCAAUCCGUUGGGACGAUCUAUUAUUCCUACCAUAUUUGUCAUAACUUCUAACUAGGCUAGAAACAAAUAAUGGCUUUGAAUUUUUA
Molecule: small RNA, 453 nt
Filed under: Histoplasma capsulatum var. duboisii H88
Lineage: Eukaryota; Fungi; Ascomycota; Eurotiomycetes; Onygenales; Ajellomycetaceae
Description: Histoplasma capsulatum H88 hypothetical RNA
Source: RNAcentral